RNAcentral lists this ribosomal RNA (392 nucleotides) under Cambarus hubrichti. Its description in RNAcentral is "partial small subunit ribosomal RNA". Lineage: Eukaryota; Metazoa; Arthropoda; Malacostraca; Decapoda; Cambaridae. The record is from RNAcentral.
AUUAGAUACCCUAGUACACUUAAAUUUAAUUAAUAAAUACUAGAAUAUUAGAAGUUAUGUUCUUUAAAUUUAAAAAAUUUGGCGGUGUUUUAGUCUGGUUAGAGGAACCUGUUUUAUAAACGAUACAACACGCAUUAUCUUACUUGUUUUAGUAAUUUAGCUUGUAUACCGUCAUUAUAAGAUAAUUUAGGAGAAAAUAUUGUUAGAAUCAUAUUAUUGAGUAUAUUAGAUCAAGGUGCAGCUUAUAAGCAAGUAAAUAUGGGUUACAAUAAAAUUUAUUUAAUAUGAAUUAAGUAUUUAAAUGUAUUUAUGAAGGAGGAUUUGAUUGUAAGAAAAGAAAUAGUAAGAUUUUUUGAUAAAAGCUCUAAAUUAUGUACAUAUCGCCCGUCGCU